AUGCUGCGGUAUCAUCCUCAUUCUUGCCACUCGAUCACCACGCAGUGCAUGCAUGAGAGAACAUGCCGGCGGCGAUUAAUUGCUACAGAUAUCGGCCGACGACGAAGAAGACGAUGGACGCGGCAGAGAACCAGCAGCCGAUCGACAAGCAGAAUCGGCUUUUGCGGCCGGGAAAUCGUGACGACUAUUGAAGCCAAUGAUUUGUUGGUUCGUCCCCUUCCCCCCUCCGUUUCCGUUUAUCCUCUCUUCGUGGUUGCAUGUAUUGCCCUGCUUCAUGCAUGGACGAGAGAGGGACGAGGGCGCGGCCGACACGUGGAGUAUUUCCACUGGUACAUGCCCCAUGUUCAUGCAUGCGCACGCGAGAGAAAACGAGGGUUGUCGGCCGGAUUAUUUUCUUGA
Molecule: ribosomal RNA, 399 nt
Filed under: Triticum aestivum (bread wheat)
Lineage: Eukaryota; Viridiplantae; Streptophyta; Magnoliopsida; Poales; Poaceae
Description: partial small subunit ribosomal RNA
Source: RNAcentral